GGAUUAGAUACCCUGGUAGUCCAUGCCGUAAACGUUGGGCACUAGGUGUGGGGACCAUUCCACGGUUUCCGCGCCGCAGCUAACGCAUUAAGUGCCCCGCCUGGGGAGUACGGCCGCAAGGCUAAAACUCAAAGGAAUUGACGGGGGGCCCGCACAAGCGGCGGAGCAUGCGGAUUAAUUCGAUGCAACGCGAAGAACCUUACCAACUUGACAUGUUCUCGAUCGCCGUAGAGAUACGGUUUCCCCUUUGGGGGCGGGGUUCACAGGUGGUGCAUGGUUGUCGUCAGCUCGUGUCGUGAGAUGUUGGGUUAAGUCCCGCAACGAGCGCAACCCUCGUUCCAUGUUGCCAGCACGUCGUGGUGGGGGACUCAUGGGAGACUGCCGGGGGUCAACUCGGAGGAAGGUGAGGACGACGUCAAAUCAUCAUGCCCCCUUAUGUCUUGGGCUUCACGCAUGCUACAAUGGCCGGUACAAUGGGUUGCGAUACUGUGAGGUGGAGCUAAUCCCAAAGCCGGUCUCAGUUCGGAUUGGGUCUGCAACUCGACCCCAUGAAGUCGGAGUCGCUAGUAAUC
Molecule: ribosomal RNA, 572 nt
Filed under: Micrococcus luteus
Lineage: Bacteria; Bacillati; Actinomycetota; Actinomycetes; Micrococcales; Micrococcaceae
Description: bacterial SSU rRNA
Rfam family: Bacterial small subunit ribosomal RNA
Source: RNAcentral